UUUAUUUCUUUUAUUUUUUGUUUCUGACACGAAUGCUUGCUUCAUUUCAAUUGGUGAAUAAAACUUAAAUUAAGGGUCACAUUUUCGAAGUUAUAUGUAUCUGACUGUGAAAAUAUAUUUUCACAUGAUAGUCGAUGCAGGCAAAUAUCUGAGCUAUAUAGAUAUGCACAAAAGUGAGGAAUAUGUAUGCAGAUAUGAAAGCUACUUUGCCAAGUGUGCUUUGACAAGGGUUUUGGAAGGCUGAGAAAAAUCAGAAUGGAUUCAUGUCUUUCUUAGUGGGUUUUUCUCUCAGUCUGAAUGCUGAGGUCUUUCUUUCCUGGAGAUUAUUUUCAAUAGUUUACGUAAUUUAAAGUUUCACCUACCAGAGUUCAGAGGGUUCAGAGGGUUCAUCUGCAAGAACCUUUCCUCCUCCUCCCACCCAGGCUUUACCUCUUUUAACCCCAUAUGCAUCCCUUGGCUUUGUCUAACCUUUCUGGGCAUUGUUAUGUUCUCAGAUAUUUUCUGGGAGGAUUGUCUGCCACUUUGUUGCUGAUGAUUUUAGUUUUUCUUUUCUCCCAAGAUGCUGCUGUGUCAUCUUUCUUCAGUCUCGAUACAUUUUUCAAAGCAACUAAGUUUUG
Long non-coding RNA from Corvus hawaiiensis (hawaiian crow), 617 nucleotides. RefSeq lists it as uncharacterized. Lineage: Eukaryota; Metazoa; Chordata; Aves; Passeriformes; Corvidae. The record is from RefSeq and is a predicted model, not a curated record. The transcript has 2 exons.